This 73-nucleotide transfer RNA is filed under the name Stegodyphus mimosarum. It matches the Rfam family "tRNA". Rfam says of the family: Transfer RNA (tRNA) molecules are approximately 80 nucleotides in length. Their secondary structure includes four short double-helical elements and three loops (D, anti-codon, and T loops). The record is from Rfam by way of RNAcentral. Lineage: Eukaryota; Metazoa; Arthropoda; Arachnida; Araneae; Eresidae.
GCCUUCGUAGUGUAAUGGUCAGCAAGCUCGACGCGUAACCGAGAGUUCCGUGGUUCGAUCCCCGGCAAAAGCG